RNAcentral lists this ribosomal RNA (721 nucleotides) under uncultured bacterium. RNAcentral's name for it is "bacterial SSU rRNA". It matches the Rfam family "Bacterial small subunit ribosomal RNA", at positions 55 to 760 of the family's 1533-position model. The record is from RNAcentral.
AUGCAGUUGAGCGCUGAAGGUUGGUACUUGUACCGACUGGAUGAGCAGCGAAUGGGUGAGUAACGCGUGGGGAAUCUGCCUUUGAGCGGGGGACAACAUUUGGAAACGAAUGCUAAUACCGCAUAAAAACUUUAAACACAAGUUUUAAGUUUGAAAGAUGCAAUUGCAUCACUCAAAGAUGAUCCCGCGUUGUAUUAGCUAGUUGGUGAGGUAAAGGCUCACCAAGGCGAUGAUACAUAGCCGACCUGAGAGGGUGAUCGGCCACAUUGGGACUGAGACACGGCCCAAACUCCUACGGGAGGCAGCAGUAGGGAAUCUUCGGCAAUGGACGAAAGUCUGACCGAGCAACGCCGCGUGAGUGAAGAAGGUUUUCGGAUCGUAAAACUCUGUUGGUAGAGAAGAACGUUGGUGAGAGUGGAAAGCUCAUCAAGUGACGGUAACUACCCAGAAAGGGACGGCUAACUACGUGCCAGCAGCCGCGGUAAUACGUAGGUCCCGAGCGUUGUCCGGAUUUAUUGGGCGUAAAGCGAGCGCAGGUGGUUUAUUAAGUCUGGUGUAAAAGGCAGUGGCUCAACCAUUGUAUGCAUUGGAAACUGGUAGACUUGAGUGCAGGAGAGGAGAGUGGAAUUCCAUGUGUAGCGGUGAAAUGCGUAGAUAUAUGGAGGAACACCGGUGGCGAAAGCGGCUCUCUGGGCUGUAACUGACACUGAGGCUCGAAAGC